Long non-coding RNA from Helianthus annuus (common sunflower), 250 nucleotides. RefSeq lists it as uncharacterized. The record is from RefSeq and is a predicted model, not a curated record. The transcript is spliced from 3 exons. Lineage: Eukaryota; Viridiplantae; Streptophyta; Magnoliopsida; Asterales; Asteraceae.
AGACCGAUGACGAUAUCUGCAGCAUGGAUUGCAAAACUGAGCUUUUAGAGAAUCUUAAGCUUUCUCAGGGGCCUCGAAGCAACCGAAGUAUAGUUGAAGCGUCAUGUGGCCCUAAAGUCCCAUUACAAGUUUUUGAAAGUGGAGGAGACACUUGGGAUUUCAACCGUCAUCGCUGGUCAACAAGGAGAUCCAGCCUAUCUACUUAUGAAUGUGUGAAAUGUAAAAAGGCUGGUCAUCUUGCUGAAGAUUG